ACUGAGGUAGUCUAAUAGAUACUCGAUUUCGACUCGAGAGAACUUAAAAACUUUAAGCCCCAGUA
RNAcentral lists this transfer RNA (65 nucleotides) under Hypsiglena jani texana (Texas nightsnake). Its description in RNAcentral is "tRNA-Arg". The record is from RNAcentral. Lineage: Eukaryota; Metazoa; Chordata; Lepidosauria; Squamata; Dipsadidae.